RNAcentral lists this unclassified non-coding RNA (418 nucleotides) under uncultured Ambispora. Its description in RNAcentral is "sequence contains ITS2". The stretch from base 1 to 154 matches the Rfam family "5.8S ribosomal RNA". Lineage: Eukaryota; Fungi; Glomeromycota; Glomeromycetes; Archaeosporales; Ambisporaceae. The record is from RNAcentral.
AACUUUCGGCAAUGGAUCUCUUGGCUCUUGCAUCGAUGAAGAACGCAGUGAAGUGCGAUAUGUAGUGUGAAUUGCAGAAUUCCGUGAAUCAUCGAAUCUUUGAACGCAUAUUGCACUCUCUGGUAUUCCGGAGAGUAUACCUAUUUGAGGGUCAUUUGAAAUGACAUAAAUUCCAAGAUUUCUUGGAAUUAAAAUGGGACAUCCAGUUUCGUGGUUGCCUAAAAUGCAAGACAAGCUCAUUUCUUGGGUUGCGUGAUACUUUCAGUUACCUCGUGACUUUCCAAGGAAUUAGCGAGCGUGUCAGGAUUUUUACAAGUGAUAAAUCGAAUUUAUCUCGUGCAAAAUAAUUUAAUUGAAUCUUGACCUCAAAUUAGGUAAGAGUACCCGCUGAACUUAAGCAUAUCAAUAAGCGGAGGCU